RNAcentral lists this ribosomal RNA (253 nucleotides) under uncultured bacterium. RNAcentral's name for it is "partial 16S ribosomal RNA". It matches the Rfam family "Bacterial small subunit ribosomal RNA", at positions 524 to 776 of the family's 1533-position model. The record is from RNAcentral.
UACGUAGGUCGCAAGCGUUGUCCGGAUUUACUGGGCGUAAAGAGCGCGCAGGCGGCUGGUCAAGUCCGAUGUGAAAUCUCCCGGCUCAACUGGGAAACUGCAUCGGAAACUGAUCGGCUUGAAGAUGGGAGAGGGUAGUGGAAUUCCCGGUGUAGUGGUGAAAUGCGUAGAUAUCGUAAGGAAGACCAGUGGCGAAGGCGGGUCUCUGGACAGUUCCUGACGCUGAGGCACGAAGGUCAGGGGAGCAAACGGG